Molecule: ribosomal RNA, 250 nt
Filed under: uncultured bacterium
Lineage: Bacteria
Description: partial 16S ribosomal RNA
Rfam family: Bacterial small subunit ribosomal RNA
Source: RNAcentral
CUAGCCGUAAACGGUGCACGUUUGCUGUAAAAGGAAUCGACCCCUUUUGUGGCGAAGCUAACGCGUUAAACGUGCCGCCUGGGAAGUACGGUCGCAAGAUUAAAACUCAAAGAAAUUGACGGGGGCCUGCACAAGCGGUGGAGUAUGUGGCUUAAUUCGAUGCAACGCGAAGAACCUUACCUGGCCUUGACAUGCAUAUAGUAGAAGGGUGAAAGCCUGACGAGGUAGCAAUACCAGUAUGCACAGGUGC